CUUUUGAUUAUUUUAGCGGCGGACGGGUGAGUAACGUGUGGGUAACCUGCCUUUUACUGGGGAAUAAUCGUUGGAAACGACGACUAAUACCGCAUACGGUUCUUGGAAGGCAUCUUCUAAGAAAGAAAGGAUUUAUUCGGUAAAAGAUGGGCCCGCAUCUGAUUAGCUAGUUGGUGAGAUAAUAGCCCACCAAGGCAACGAUCAGUAGCCGACCUGAGAGGGUGACCGGCCACAUUGGGACUGAGACACGGCCCAAACUCCUACGGAAGGCAGCAG
RNAcentral lists this ribosomal RNA (276 nucleotides) under uncultured bacterium. Its description in RNAcentral is "partial 16S ribosomal RNA". It matches the Rfam family "Bacterial small subunit ribosomal RNA", at positions 80 to 354 of the family's 1533-position model. The record is from RNAcentral.